GUGAGAGCAUUACCUGUGUGCGGUAAGGUGAGGGCGUUACCUGUGUGAGAUAAGUUGAGGUAAGGUGAGGGGGUUACCUGUGUGAGGUAAGGUGGGGAAAGGUGAGGGGGUUACCUGUGUGAGGUAAGGUGAGGUAAGGUGGGGGUUACCUGUGUGAGGUAAGGUUAGGUAAGGUGAGGGGGUUACCUGUGUGAGGUAAGGUGGGGUAAGGUGAGAGCAUUAUCUGUGUGAGGUAAGGUUAGGUAAGGUGAGGGUGUUACCUGUGUGAGGUAAGGUGGGGUAAGGUGAGGGUGUUGCCUGUGUGAGGUAAGGUGAGGGUGUUACCUGUGUGAGGUAAGGUGAGGGGUUUACCUGUGUGAGGUAAGGUGGGGAAAGGUGAGGGGGUUACCUGUGUGAGGUAAGGUGGGGUAAGGUGAGGGUGUUACCUGUGUGAGGUAAGGUGAGGGGGUUAUCUGUGUGAGGUAAGGUGGGGGUUACCUGUGUGAGGUAAGGUGGGGUAAGGUGAGAGCAUUACCUGUGUGAGGUAAGGUUAGGUAAGG
Molecule: long non-coding RNA, 539 nt
Organism: Ictalurus punctatus (channel catfish)
Lineage: Eukaryota; Metazoa; Chordata; Actinopteri; Siluriformes; Ictaluridae
Source: Ensembl